RNAcentral lists this ribosomal RNA (301 nucleotides) under uncultured bacterium. Its description in RNAcentral is "partial 16S ribosomal RNA". It matches the Rfam family "Bacterial small subunit ribosomal RNA", at positions 509 to 807 of the family's 1533-position model. The record is from RNAcentral.
CAGUCGCCGCGGUAAUACGAAGGGGGCUAGCGUUGUUCGGAUUUACUGGGCGUAAAGGGCGCGUAGGCGGACUGAUAAGUCAGGGGUGAAAUCCCAAGGCUCAACCUUGGAACUGCCUUUGAUACUGUUUGUCUUGAGUUCGAGAGAGGUAAGUGGAACUGCGAGUGUAGAGGUGAAAUUCGUAGAUAUUCGCAAGAACACCAGUGGCGAAGGCGGCUUACUGGCUCGAAACUGACGCUGAGGCGCGAAAGCGUGGGGAGCAAACAGGAUUAGAUACCCCAGUAGUCCCUGUCUCUUAUAC